GUGUUUAUUAUAUUCAUUAUCCAUCUGUUUGGUGAAAAGUCAUUUUGAAAGCUAUGGAACAGCUAUCCUAACAGAGAGGAACACAAACUAAAAACUAACGUGGGUGUCAUCGUGCUACUCCUUAAUGUCCAAAAGCAGUAAGGAAACUAUUAAAAUAACACAGUAAAACAGAUACACGAAAAAUAAAAAAUAAAACACCACAAAAUACAACACUGCCUGAGAAUUCUCUAGUUAAUAAAUCUAAUUCUGAAACAGUACUGAUUUCUUAUUAACUAUUCAUUCUGAUCAUAAAAAAAGUUCAGUCUUGUUAAGAGUUUUAAGUUAUUUUUCAUUUAUUGUCCUUCUGUAAAUUCAGUAGUAAUCAGAUAUUUCCCUGUUAGUCCAAUCUCCGGCAGUUCCAUAUGCUGUUAAUUUGUUACAAAUCAAUACCAACUACUGAACAGAGAGAUAGAAACCUGUGAGAUAUCGUCAAAGCUAUAUUGAAGUCAUUGUCGUACUAAUGUCCGUUUUUACCUUCAUAACCAAAGUAACAAACCGCAAAAAUGCAAAUGACCAUAACAAAAUACUGCAAAACUCAGGGGCAGCAACCCAAACAAUAUGUUGUCAGAUUCUUCUGAAAUCUGAUGAACAUUUUUACCCAAUGUAAGAUUUGCUCUAGAUGCUUUGGUUUCAGAGGUAUAUGUUGCACUUUGUAAAUACAGCUGUUUCUCAAAACACGCCUCUUUUGGGGAGAUCUUGAAUAUUCAUAGAAAAUUAAUUUUGUUUACAUACUGGUUCCCAGUUAUGCUCUCAGUGUUCCAUCUCACAGAGACAUAACUUGGGAAUGUUACCAGUAAAUAAACAUGUGCAUAUUGUUUACAUUGAAAUCUGUGGUAACCUUUCAUUCGAGGUAGGGGUAGUUAAGAAAAUUAGUGUUAGUAUAAACUCUGAGAAGUUCAGGGAAUAUAAACGUUGAAAAUAUGCCGCACAGCCCUAUAUUUUGACCUUUGAAAAAAAUUGUGGUGAAUAUGAACUUUCAAUUUUAGGAUAAGAUUUUUUUCAAAACUUCAUAGUAAAAGUGGUACAGUUUUAGCCGUAAAAGGAGUUCCUAUGGGAAAUUGCAUUGUCAAUUUUUACAGAAAUGCAACCUAUAAGCCAACCAGAUGCUCCACAGGGCGCAGCGUUAUACGACCGCAGAGGUCGAACCCUGAACAGUUGGGGCAAGUAUGGACACAACAUUUAAGCGUGAUACAGCUCUGAAUUUGGAUUGUGAUUAAAUAGCUGACACAACAUAGGUUUCUGACACAGAAUGAAUGUGGUCUAAGAACUUAAACUUAAAAACUUAAAAUUUUUAAAUUGGACAUUAACCUAUUAUGGUCCAAUAUCCAAAAUCUAAAUACAUGGUUAGAUUCAGCAUAUCAUAGAACCCCAAGAAUUCAAUUUUUGCUAAAAUAUAAUAAUGUUCAAUUUUAGACCCUUUAGACUUCAAUGUGGACCAAUUUGAUAACCGGGCCCAAAUACUAAAAAUCUAAAUACAUUGUUAGAUUCAGCAUAUUGAAGAACCCCGUAUAUUAAUUUUUUUUUUAAUCAAACAAAGUCUGUCCCAAGUCAGGAGCCUGUAAUUCAGUGGUUGUCGUUUGUUUAUGUGUUACAUAUUUUGUUUUCGUUCAUUUUUUUUUUUUUUUUUUUUACAUAAAUAAGGCCGUUAGUUUUCUCGUUUGAAUUGUUUUCCUUUGUCUUCAUGGGGCCUAUUAUAGCUGACUAUGCGGUAUGGGCUUUGCUCAUUGUUGAAGGCCGUACGUUGACCUAUAGUUGUUAAUGUCUGUGUCAUUUUGGUCUUUUGUGGAUAGUUGUCUCAUUGGCAAUCAUACCACAUCUUCUUUUUUAUAUUUAAUUUUUGACCCUUUGGACCUUAAUGUAGACCAAUUCGAAAACGGUACAAUACUGUGCAAUUGAAUAUUUCUUGCUAUUGCGUAAAACUAUGCAAUUGAAAAUGUCUUGCUAUUGCGCAGUAUUGUGCAAUUAGAUAUUUCUUGCUAUUGUGCAAUACUGUGCAAUUGAAGAUUUCUUGCUAUUGCACAAUACUGUGCAAUUGAAAAUUUCUUGCUAUUGCGGAAUACUGUGCAAUUGAAAAUUUCUUGCUAUUGCACAAUACUUAAUAUAAUAAUUUUGGACCCCGAUUUGGACCAACUUGAAAACUGGGCCCAUAAUCAAAAAUCUAAGUACAUGUUUAGAUUCAGCAUAUCAAAGAACCCCAAGAAUUCAAUUUUUGUUAAAAUCAAGCCAAGUUUAAUUUUGGACCCUUUGGACCUUAAUGUAGACCAAUUUGAAAACAGGACCAACCAGAUGCUCCACAGGACGCAGCUUAAUACGACCGCAGAGGUUGAACCCUGAACGGUUGGGGCAAGUAUGGACACAACAUUCAAGCUGGAUUCAGCUCUAAAUUUGGAUUGUGAUUAAAUAGUUGACACAGCAUAUGUUUCUGACACAGAAUGAAUGUGGUCUAAUGAACUUAAAAUAAUUUUUUUGCCUUUGAGCAAUUCACUAUGCUGUUGAAUAUUAAUCCUCUCAAAAAAAUGUUUGAAGAAAUUUUCUUUUUAUUUAUAAAAUC
Molecule: long non-coding RNA, 2590 nt
Filed under: Mytilus galloprovincialis (Mediterranean mussel)
Lineage: Eukaryota; Metazoa; Mollusca; Bivalvia; Mytilida; Mytilidae
Source: RNAcentral